Alligator mississippiensis (American alligator) is the source of this 5052-nucleotide long non-coding RNA. RefSeq lists it as uncharacterized. The record is from RefSeq and is a predicted model, not a curated record. NCBI's taxonomy places the organism in Eukaryota, Metazoa, Chordata, Crocodylia, Alligatoridae. The transcript has 3 exons.
UACAAAGCAAGGGUAUUUGGCUUAUGCUAAUCCCAUCUAACUUAAUGUGCUGUAUGUAGGACUGCCUGAGAAGACUGUUUAGAAGCUGAUGCUGGUGCAGAAGGUGGCAGCUCGCAUUCUGACAGGGGUGCAUCACCAGGAGCACCUGGAAGCAGGAAGAGGAAGUGAUAAGAAACCCUGCAGAGUCCUGCUGCUGUGAUUGUAGACUGCAAAUCCCAGGGACUUUAGGGGCAGCAGGAAGAAGAAGUGGACAUACAGCCCAUACUGGCUAUGCUCUAGUACCUCCCUUCCCCCCAGCUUCUGGCCUGAGCCACUGCAGCAACAGAUGUGUGGGACCAAAAAAGAAGAACAUGACACUUGGAAUACACCAGCUUUUGUUGUUUGAGAGGGAGAAGAUUUAGGUCACCCAGAUAGAGUGAUGAUUCUGGUGCUUUGCUGUGCUACAAAUGAUUGCAUACUACGGGUAUGUCCAGAUGAGCGUGGCUGAUGCGGUGAAAAGAGCCGGAGAAUGCUGCUUCCGGAGCCAUUGCCAUAUUAGGAUGAAAGCUCCAGGACUGGAAAGUAAACAAAGAAAAGAAGAAAGUGAAUUGACCCACUCUCUCAAGCUUGGAGACCGCAUCUGGGUGUCUGUCACGAGGACUCAAGGCUUCAGGCACAUGCAGGAUAAAAAGUACACACUUAUAGCAACAAAAUAAAGAGAAAGUAUAUGAUGGGUUUUGAAGAUAAAAGUCUGCCCAAAAAAGAUAAACAGAUGAACAAGAGAUAAAGAGACUUCGUUUUCUAAUACCAAGUUCAGUCCAACCAAAUUGAUAGCAGUUACAUAAGAACAUUAUAUAGAUAGAAUUACAAAGUUGAUAUGACUGAUGAGGCUAAAUAAAAAAAAAAAAAAAAAAAAAAGGAAAGGAUAUAAAUGGACAACUUCUGCCUAAAAGUAAAGAAAGUUUGUAUAGAACGAUAAAAGAUAAAAAUAAAGGCAAGUGUUAAUCUGAAUCAGACUGUGAAUAUAUAUAUAUAUUUCACAUAUAUAUAUAUAUAUAUCGGUGAGUGUGUGUGGAUAGUCGAGAAGGCGAGCAAGGUAUUCCUUUUAUAAUACCGGGACUCCUAAUAGAGCCACAACCCCCUCCCUCCCCCCCGCCCCCGAAAUAUAUAUAAUAUAAAAUAACCCUCCUGACUAGUAACAUCAUAAAUUAGAACAUAUUAUAACAACACCCAAGACAUAACAGGCAGGAAAGUCGGGGUACCUAUAGUUCUUUGGGAGAUUAUAAGAGGAUAUGAAGAGACAUCCUAAGGACCACCAUCACAUGGUGGGGGAAAAAAAAUGCAUCUACAGACUUCAUUUUAGGCCUUGUAAAGUACAAAUGUAUGCUCUUUUCAGUGUGAAAUAGUGAUAGAUCAUUAGAGUUUGGAGUUCAUAGAUAAAUAUAUGCUAUGCUUAACGCACAUGACAUUUCAUACUAACGUAACUGAAGAGCUGCUGAAAGAACUAAGAUUGAAACAAAUGCUCUGACAUCUUUGAUCAGUGAUACAGAGUAAUAUGGAAGCUCUUUUAUACAGAACUACUCUUGUCACUUUUCAUAAACUAAUUUAUUAUUCUGGUGGUAAAAAGAAAUGUUAUACAUCUCAGUUCCUCAGAGCAAAUGUAUGAAUAUCUAAGACUGCAAGUGAUCAACAUCUGUGGAAUACUUCAGUCAUGGGAGCCCUGUUCCUGCUCCUUCCUCCUACCCUACCCCAUUUUGGCGAAGUGAAAAAUUGAGCAAUGGUGUGGUGCUGGUCUGGAUACUGCAAGCAGAUCAGAAAACCAGGAUUAUAUUCUUGCCCAUUCCAGUAAUUUUAUUUGUGACCUUAGCAAAUUAUUUAUUCUCAAAUAUUUAGGAAUGUCCAAUAAAUUAGGUGGCCAUAACCUAUCACAAGUUUGGGUCUCACAAACUGAGGCACCAAAAUUAUUGCUUUGGACAAUGUUGGCUCUAGGAUUUAAUUUCUUAAAUAAAAAAAAAAGUCAAAGAUAGUACUAUUUCCUUAUGUAUAGGCUGUUCUCAGAUAUAGGAGUAUAAGGUGAACAUUAUUUGAAGUAAUGCAGAAGCUGAACUAGAAAAUCUGAGGCUGCAUAUUUUUUUGUCUCAGUUGUUGUAUGUGUAACAUAUCUAAUACUGGCCAUCUCUGCAAAGUGUUUUUAGCUCCCCGGGGUAAAGGGAUACAAACAAUUGCAGCGCUAUUUCACAAUAAAUAUAAAUUUGCAAUGUGAGAACUAAUUUUCAGAGAACCAAAGGUCAUAGACAAUGACCUUGUUCCUGUAAGUAGUGGCUGUCUCCAUCUUCCAAUAGAAAAAAAAAGUUUUAGUUAACCAUACACUUCUCUCUACUUUCAGCAGCCACUGUGUGAGGAGGAAAAUCAGUUUCACAGACUAUUUUCUGUGUGUGUGCCUGUGUGUUUGUUUGCAAGGUGCCCGUUGUAGCGUAGCAGAAUCUUUUCUUCGUUCUGUUCUUUUCCAGAUGCAGAACGUUAUUUUUAAAUAAACAUCAGACCCAAAACAUGGUGAGAAUUUCUGUAAAUAAUAACAACUGAAAACAAAACAAGGACAAAUACAAAAAAAAUUCUGUAAAAAUACAAUGCUACAUUCACUUCUUUAUUAUAUCAUAUAAUGUGACAUGGAAGUCUUUCUAGUUCUCCCAGUAAUAGCAAAACAAAAUUUGAGCAGUGAUAUUGUACACAAAAGACCCCCUGACACACUCUCUCUCCCCAUUUAUUUGAGUAAAUAAAAUUACUUCUUUUGUAAUGUGAGAAGUUAGCCUUGGUACAUAUAAUAUUGGAGCUUGAAAAAUUAAUUCAGUUCAGUGAAAGUUUGUUAAAGCCUGACAGAUUUUGUCUUAAAAUUAAAAAGCAAUCAUUGAAAGCUCCUCUGGGUCUCCAGUAUUUCAUAAUAUAUAAUUUUAUUGGAAAAAAAUACUUUUGUGACAUACAUUUUCAUAUUGUGUUUCCUGUUAUUUGAUAGUUUUCCUCAUGUACUUUAAAAUUUGUCUUCUCCUUCAGUGCACUUACAGAAAUGUAAUGCACUUGCAGCUUUAGUUACAAUAAGCUUCUGUGUUGUUCUAUAAUUUGGCAACUGCAAAACAUGAGUGACUGCAGUUGGGAUAGUGAAAUAACUGAUAUGUUUAGUCUUUAAAGGUAUAGAUGAUCCAUUUCUAAUUUAAACAGAAAAAUUUGCUGUUGAAUAAAAUAGUAUGAACUAAGAUGCAUCAGUGCUAGGCAAAUACACCAAAUGAAUGAAUGGAACUGCAGUAGCAUAAGUGGGAAAGGAUUUGUGUAUCUAGUUUAGCUAUUGAAUGCAGUCUUCCUAUGAGUCUAUACUAGCACUUAGUAGUUCUAAUUUUCCAUUGUCUAUAAUUCUACUUUACAGUUCUCAGAGCAUCUCUUUAAUACAGACAGGGACAUUUCAGAAGACUUUCAGGAGUCCAGUGAAAUUGUAGGAAGAGUGAUUUUGCUCAUAAUUUUAUGGGAAAUGCAACAGUGUUUUGGUGUUUCUAGAAUUCUAGGGUACUCAGACAUUUUGGAAAGUAUGACCAUUUAUUUGCCUUUUAAGAAUGUAGGGUUAGAACAUGCUCUUCACUCUGCCAGAAGAUUUGUAAAUUCUUAAUUUCUCUUUUUUUUAAAAAAAACCAAUAAGACAAAACAAAAACAUUACAUCAGAUUGGUGUGUUGGGCCAUGAUUACUCUCCUCCAACUCUGGAAAGAUCCUGUAACAAAGGCUUGUCUAUGAAACUAGAUUAUUAACCUUCUGCUCAUCCUUUUCAACCUUUUAUAUCUGAGAUGCUUAAUUUGCACGUGCAAGAAAUCCCCUUGAUUUGUAGGUGCAUUUCUACUCUAUAUUUGAAAACUUAUCUUGAGGAGCUAUCAUUUUAUAAUAAAGCAAACCAUUUUUUUAAUUGAUUUUUUUUUCUACCCCUGAUUUCCUGGUUCUUUUAGGUUUGCUGUGUCUGAAAUAAUUAAUCCCAGACCUUUUUUCCUCCUUGAUUUAAAAAAAAAAAAAAAAAUCUUUACAAUUGUUAAAUUUUCUGUUAUUGGGACAUAUAUAUGCACUCUCUCUCAUUAGCUAAGCUCAUCAAAAGUAAAUGUUAUUAUUUACUCUAUAGAUUAAUGUCACAAUUGCACAUAUAGGUGAUAAAUUGUUUUCUGCAGCAUGGCAGGGAACUUUAUGAUUAUCAGUGCUACUUUGCUUCUGGUAAACUCAUUAUUCCAUAGUAAAGACUCGUAACUUAAUUCUUUAUCACAGUGACAAUACAGACUUAGAGUAGACUCAGUAGGGCUUCUGUUUAGGUGUAUUGCAAUUAUUCCCACUAUAAUUGUUUUAUACUGUUCGUUUUAGAACAAGUAUGCUGCUGAUUUAUUCACUGACAAGUUUUAUAGGGCCUAUCUUUGUCAGUGUUUAACCAUUAUAGCUCAACAAAAUGGCAACAAUAAUUUUAUAAUGCCAUAGCGUAACCCCUUCAUACUUUUUUCAAAGUGAGUCAGUGAGACCCUUUUGAGCAUGUUGGUGGAGAAAUGGAGGUGGUUGGCAGAGGUGUGGGUGUAUCACUGAUGCCGAGGACAUUGGAGACACGUAGGGGGUGCACGCAGGUGCACGUGCACCCCCUGAGUUUGGUGGUGCAUCCCCUGUGAAAAGGCACUGCCGGUGUAGCUGCUUGCCACUCCCCCCUCGUUGCCAACACUGCUGGCAGCGUCUGCGGGCAGUCUGCAAUCACCGCUGGCCACCACCAAUGCCACCAGCGGUGUCUGUGGGUGGUCGCCAACUGCCAGUCAGCACUCACCGCUAUAAAUAAAUAAUAUUAUAUAUUAUAUAUACACAUUAUAUAUAAUAUUUUUCUUAGUAAGUUUUUCACUGAUUGCAUGCUAUCUGUUUGUUACUGUAUUUAUUAUGGCAAUAAAAAUAAUAUGGACUCUUAAAAACUUAAUUUUUAUUCACAGUGACAAAUGUAAUGCCAGCUACCUCACACCACAUGCUGCUGGUUUAUAACAGCACCUUCUUAAUGAGAAAUUAAACAAAAACUACAUAUUGAA